GAGAUAGGAAGUAGAUUGAAAUGUAUCUGUAUUUUGCGUACGUACUAUACGUGCCCAGCUCGAUGCAGUAGUUCUCCAGUACCAGAACCAGAGACUUCUUCAGCAAAUAGACAAACAGAAGCAUGAUUUGCAAGAUCUUGAAGCAAAAAUUAAGGAACUAAAGGAUAAGCAAGGUUCUUAUGAUGAAAUGCUAAUCACAGUGAAUCAAAUAUGGAAUCAGUUGGUUGAUGAUUUAAUUCUUCUUGGACUAUGUACUGGAGGAAGCCAAAAUGCUUUACAAAUUUUAGAUGGCGCUGAUUAUUCUCGUGGUUCAAUUCCAUCAUGUUCUGCGGAGGAGAUGUUUCUUUGUAGA
Molecule: non-coding RNA, 352 nt
Organism: Prunus avium (sweet cherry)
Lineage: Eukaryota; Viridiplantae; Streptophyta; Magnoliopsida; Rosales; Rosaceae
Source: RefSeq, a predicted model, not a curated record